Molecule: non-coding RNA, 26 nt
Filed under: Arabidopsis thaliana (thale cress)
Lineage: Eukaryota; Viridiplantae; Streptophyta; Magnoliopsida; Brassicales; Brassicaceae
Source: RNAcentral
CCGGGUUCGAUCCCCGGCAACGGCGC